UUAUGAUCAGCUGAGGAGUCCGGUGAUCCGCAGAGGAACGGAAAGAAGUCGGUGGAAAUUCACACGUUGACUUGAAUGAUUACGAUCAGCUGUUAUUGGCGGAUAUGACCUUUUCGUAGCUGUUCCGGAAGUGGUGGAAACUGGAGGUAAGUGUUGCAAACACACAAGGGUCCUCUCCAUGCUAUCCCAGAUUUGUCCUCCUCAGACUGCAGCUUCAGGGUUCUGUCCUGGCUCCUCUCUCUCUGGGGUGAAAAGGUUAUUAAAGGGCACGUUUGAUUUGUUCAAGAAAAAAGAUUUUAUUGAAGUCGUAAAAACUUCCUCCAACUUUUCUCUGAAAGUUGGAAACGUCUGCAGAGAUUCAGAUCAGACAGACACUGAACGAGGCCUUUCUUCUAUUUCUCCAAAGAGGAACUGAGGGAGAAAAAAUGAAAACUUUUCAUGAAAACAGCAAAAAGUCAGAGAAAAAGAAACAGAGUUACACGGACUGUCUGGCAGAUGUCCUUUCUUUUCUUUUUCUGUCUUUCACUCACAGUCUAACACCCUCUGACUGUGCAGGAAAUCCAGCAUUGAUACGUCGGACAGGUUCCUCUCAAACACGCCGCAGAGGGAGUUGUGAACAUUUUUCAAUUUGUGCACGAGGAGUCAAAGUGUCCCCCCCGGCGGUCCGCCUGACUUCCCCGUGAAUGAACUCGGCUCCUCAUAUUAAAACACGUCUAAAAAGUUUCUAAUCCCUCAUGAGACGCCCAAAACCAGCAGCUUUGCGUCACAUUUUCCUCCCUUCAGUGUCGCAGAAACAGGCGUGACGUUGGCGAUGAAAUCCAAAGUGACAGUGAGUCUUCAGUGAAAGGAAGCUGCAGCUGUUUUAACGCUCUUUGACUUUGACCACACGCAGAGCGACAUUUGGAGUUUGUUCUCACUGAGGGAUUAAAAUCGGGGAUAUUUCAGCUCCUGCUGCUGCGCCGGCUCACAUUUGGUGAUGAAAUUAUUCUUUAAAUCUGGGAGAAUAAAUCUGAUAUUAAAGGAAAUAACAGCCGUCUAAAGGAUGAAUAUGAACGCUGAGACUCUGCCAACUCAUGAUGACAGCCCUGCUGAUGUAUUAUCACCCGGUCUGGUGAGCGUGUUAGCAAACAGCAGCUUAUUAACUCAUCAGCAGCACUCUCUGGUCACCAGAUGGUUGAGGACCGCUAAUCGCUCUUUUUCCCCCCUCCAUUCAGCUCCAGAGGGAAAUAUCAAACCCUUUGGAUGCUAAAUGCUACACUAUUUUCAGCAGCUGGUCAUUAACUUUGCUCACAGCACAAAGCAGGAGUUAAAAAAACUCUUUUCUAAAAGCAGCUCCAGCUAAAACGGCUCAUCAGAGUCAAACCGCGGUUCAACUUGAGGUUCAAUGACCCUGAAACUCAGACUUUUCACGUCACCUGUGCAGCAUCAGUUCAGAAUCCAAAUCAGUCAGACUGAAAUUUAACAAAAUUAAACUUAACAUUGUCAGACGGACAUAUCUCGAUUAUGUGGUUCGGUGAUUUUCUUUAGCAUGUACAGACGCUUCAGUGGGACGGAAACUGGCUUAACCCCACAUUUCCACCGCAUCCAAAACGGCUACAAAGAGGCCAUAUCCUCCGAUCGUAGCUGAUCGUAACCAUCCAAGUUAACGUGUCAAUUUCCACCGACUUCUUUCCGUUCCUCUGCGGAUCGCCAGACUGCACGGCUGAUCGCAAGAGUUCUUUGUUUUCCCAGAUGGCGGAUAAAUUCAGCACAGAUUAACCCGUGCUGGAAAGGAAGUCGGGCACAGACACAAAAUAAAACAUCCAGCUUCUUUUCAAAAUAAAACACUCUGUGUUUCAGGAGGAUCGUAUUUCACAACAUGCAAACGGGCGGAGACGAACAAGUGAAAGGUUUUUAGAUGCCGUUCUGGAUGCGGUGGAAAUUGGGGGUUAGAUUUAAUAUGAUUAGACUUCAAACUGUGGUCUUUUGUCUUCUGGUGCACGAUGGUCUUAGAGCUUUAGUUGCAGGAAUGUAGUCCUGAACCCGCAGCUCUCAGGUCUGCAGAUCUGUGCUCCUAAAGGGACAAAAGGGUCGUCAUUUCAAGUCUAAGUUUGGACCAAAGUCUGCAGCUCUAGUCUGGUGCUGGAGGUUUCUUUUAGCUUAGGGGUGGGCAAUCAUGUGCCAUGGAGGGCCGAGGGGCUGCAGGUUUUCUUUCCAACCCCAAACUCCACCAGGUGAUUUCACUGAUUAGUCCCUGCUCUCUGCUUGGAGGUUAUCAGUGAGAUCACCUUGUGGAGUUUGUGGUUGGAAAGAAACCUGAAGCCUCUCGGGCCUCCAUGGCACAUGAUUGCGCACCCCUGUUUUAGCUGGAUACUGGUCAGGGAGCUCCAUCACUUAGACGUGGACUUCCAUAGGCUCCUGUUUGUGUUUGUGAAGAUCAUGUUCAGACCUAAAACUGAAUUCCCCUUUAAGGAUUAUAACUGUAUGUCUUCUGAUGGAAACCAUAAACUCUACGACACCGACAGCUUCCCUGUUUUGAAAUAUGAUAUAGAAACUCUCUCAAGGACGGAUAUUGAACCAUUUACUAUCACUUUCCUUUUAUCUCAUGAUAGUUUUUUUCCCUUUUCUCUCGGCUAAAUGGCCGUUGGGUUAUUUUUUUUAUAAAUCCUUCUUGGAACCGCUUCCCUUCAAUCUCGGUCUCCUCUGCUCCACUUGAGUGGAUUAGACGGUUGGAAGAAAAUCAUCACUUUGAUCCAGAUUCUCGAGGAGAGCUCUCAGUCCCAAUAUUUCACAAUCUUGCGGUACAGUAAACACCUUCACCCUCCGUAACCCUCAUCUUCACACUUUUCUCCUCUCUCUGAUGGUGAGCCGUGGGUCAGACACAUUUUGAUCCAUCAUCUCAGCGCAAUAGUCGAGAUUUACACCAUUUCUCUCAUAACACCUCAGCCUUCAGGUGUUCGUUUUUUUCACCGCACACCUGUUACCUGCCAGACUCUGUUCUCUCCAUCAUCCAAGUAUUUCUACACACUAAAGAGUACAUGUUGUUGUUGUAAUCAUUUUUUUCUACUUCAAGACAGCUACAACAAAAAAGGAGAUUUUUAAAUAUUUAAUUGACUGAUCAGAACAGCUGAUUUGUACAAAAGAGGAUAAGGGCCACAAGAAGAGAAAAAAAAUUACAGAAAGGAAAAUAAAGUCGAAAUUUUGAGAUUGUAAAAAAUCUAAAUUAUGUCAAUGAAGUCGAAAUUUCAAGAUUAAAAUUAGAAUCUCUGGAUUAAAGUCAAGAUUUCAGAUUACAAAAAUUGAAAUUAUGUCAAUAAAGUCAAAAUUUCAAGAUUACAAAAUGUCAGUGUCAUAAGAAUUCAAAAUUUUUACAUUAAAGAAAUGAAAAUUUCAAGAUUUAAGUUGAAAUUUCAUGAUUAAAGUUAUAAUAUUGAGGUAUAAAAAUCUAAAUUAUAUCAAUAAGGUCAAAAUUUUAAGAUCAAAAAAUCAAUUACAUCAAUAAAAUUGAAAUUUUGACAUCAGAAAAAUUAAAAUUUCCAGAUUAAAGUUGAAAUUUUGAGAUUAAAGUCAAUAUUUCGAAAUUUUAAAAAUCUAAAUUUGGCAAGAAAGUCGAAAUUUGAGAUUAAAAAUUGAAAUUUCAAGAGUACAAUUAAAAUUUUGAGAUUACAAAAUGUUUAAAUGUCAGAAAAUGUUGAAAUUUUGACACUAAAAAAAUAAAAUGAGAAUAAAGUCAAGAUUUCGAGAUUAAAAACAUCAAAUUUAUGUCAAUAAAGUCGAAAUUUCAACAUUAAAAAAUCCAAAUUUUGAGAUUCAAGUCGAAAUUAAAGUUGACAUGAAUAAAGUGGAAAUAUCGACUUUUUAAAAUUUCGACUUUAAUCUUAAAAUUUCUCCUUCCUGUAAUGUAUUUUUCUUUUCUUUUUUUUUUUUGGUCCUUGUUUCAUAGAUUUGACAGCCACAGAAAAUAAACAUGAGAAGUUAUGAAUGAGCAUGUGUCGUAUGAUAAGCCCCGCCUGUAUGUUUCAAAUACAGUGGCGAUAUCUUAACGAUCUUAAUUUGAAGCAGCUCUAUGACCACACGCGUGCUGACUGCUCUGAACAGAGGCUGACUUCCCUCAUACUAACCUUUAGCUGCUUUAUGUCCAACUGUAUGACAGCUGCAGAUCCUUACUGACUCACUAAAUCUAAAAUAAACCUGUUAUCUUUAUUCUAUAUAAGAUAAAGACAAACUGCUGCUUUCAUCUGGAAGUAUAACCAAAUACUGAAAUGUGUUUUGACGGGAAGCCGAGUUCAUGAAGCCUGUUCUGGCAGACAGAGAUGACAGAUGCUAAAUGGACGUGACAUUUGCUUUCAGUGACAUUUAUAAGGCGCCAUAAUGUGGAGCGAAUACUUCCUGCAAAGUGGAGUCAUAAUAAUCGAUAUAAACCACAAGACAUGAUAAGAAUCGAUGUGAUUGUUCCUUUGCAACAGCACUUUGACUGGGCAACAGUGAGUAAAUGACAUUUUGAUCAAUAACGACACAUGUUACCGGAUUAGAUGGGUUUCCUUUUCGAGCUGCUGCAAAACAGGAUGAAUUUUAGUUGAAGUGGAGAGUAUUAAGAAGUUUGCCUUGGAUUAUAGUAGCCAAAGAAGUAUUACAAUAAAAAUACUAUCAGUGAUAAUGAUGGAAAAGUUUGAACUUACAACAACACAGUAAGUAAAAUUAUGAAAAGGCAAGAAAAGUGUCAAACAAACAGGAAAAGGACCCAACUGCAGAACAGAAGUGGUUGUUCUGCAAUAAAAGUUAACAAAAACGAACUUUAAAUGUCCAACAGAAAUAUUCAAGGCGAAACCCAAAAGACCUAAAAAUCCAAAAAGGGCAAAAACCAAAAGAAGACACUCAAGACACACUGGGAAACGAGCAACGAGAGGCAGGUGAGACACCGAGACACAGGUGAGGACAAUCACAGAGGAGGGAAAACUGAGGAAGUGAAACAAGACUAGAAACACAGGGAAUAAACUACUACAAAAUAAAACAGGAAGCACUGAGAUAAGGAAUAAAACACUGAGAACACGAGGGAACCGGGGUCAGACACAAACUGAAAACUCAAGACAAGACUUCAGGAGAACAGGAACAACUGGAACUGUGACCCUAUUUGUCCUGUUGAUGAAGUUAGGUGCUGUUCUGAGCAUUAUUUGUGGCUAUAGAGUGGCGUUUUGGUAUCGCUGUCCUGCAGUAGUUACUAAAGUUGGUUUAACUAGAGAAGCAAGCGGUCGGCAACAGUCUAACUCGGCGUUACAAUGUGUUUGACCUUAACUUAAUUUUACGCAGGAAUAUCCCUUUAAAGAGCUGAGUCAACCCAGUCCACAGAAACCAGUACAAAGGACCACCUCUAUAAACUAGAGUAUUUAGUUUAUUGAUGAUAAAUUACUACAACAGCCUUACUUCAAAGUACCGCAAACGUACUACAGCUCCACAGUGGGAUGCCACAAGGUUCACUUCUGGGUCCUCUAUACUUUAUCUAAAUAAAUUGAUUUGGACAAACAGUCUCAAACUCUGCGCUUCACUUCUAUGCCGACAAUACAAUCGUUUUCAGCUUUGUUUUAGAUCUUCAGAAAAUAUUUGACCACUUUUUCAACUGGACUUUGUUCCACUUUGUUUUUUUAUCAACAAAACUGAAAAACGGCCUCGUCUCCUCGGUACACAGUGAGAAUUAGGAAGGAAAUUACAAGGAGAGAAAGAGGAUUCAAAAUACCGUCAAAAACUCAUUUCACAAAACAUUUCAUUUUAUGACAUUAUUACCAUCCAUCCAUUUUACUACCCAUUCAUUUCACAUCCCCACCUAAUCUGCUGAGGGUCGAACGAGCCGCAGAGUCCACAGCAGCAAACCCACCCACUCACACUCAGAGCGGUUUUAAUUUUUCCACAUCGUCUAACCUGAAUGUGUUCGGAGUGUGGGAGGAAAACCGGAACUCACAGACACCCUGACCGAAGGUUUGGCCUUAAUUUGAUUGGUUACUCCAAGAGUGCGUUCGCGUCGGCCCCUCGGUGACCAAAGAGCAGCGCGAAUUUAUCACCCGACGUUUCUGAAGGAGAGACGGACGUGAAAGAGUGAAAUACGGGUUUCAUGUGUUGGAGGUGAAAGAUGAGGGUGUCAGUCUUAAAAGCCUUGUCGACAACAGCUGAUGGAUGGGCGCCACUUUCACAGACACAUAAUACACUGACCCUGCGGUGUGUGUGUGUCUGUGUGACGAAGUUUAAAAGAUUUUUAUGACGGUACUUUUGUUAUUUAACUGUGAUUUAACAUUUCUAAAGCAUGAAGAUACCCCCUCAUUUCAGAGACACUUCCCCAGAAUAAACCUCCGAGCGCACAGAGAGACUUCCAGGGAACAUAAACGUCCCACCACAGAUCCAGCUGAGCGGCUCGACCAUGAAUCAGGCCGUGUGCUUAUUUUGGCCGAGGGAGAUACAUUCCCUGCUUCCUGCAACGAGGCGAACGUUAAACCUGAUAUAAAAAAAAUCAUUGGUCAGGGCUCGAUGCUCCAUAAAUGGCCUUUAGCAGCCCAAUAAAAGGAUGAAUUUAUGAGGAAGGCCCAAUAAUCUCGAUGAGGACAGUCAUGGAUACGGUCGCUAAAUGAUCUGAGUUCCCUCCAAACAAACCCGUAAUGGUAUCAUGGUGGAUGCAUCCGUUCAGAUGAGCAGAUCCAGCUUCUGUUCACAGAUGAUCACGAGAUCUGUUCAGUUUUAUACAGCGUGGAAAAAUAGAGUCAGAUUCUGGACUAUACACCAGAUUAUACAUCACACUGUGGAUAAACGUGUCUAUGUUCACACAUAACCUGGGAUUUCAAUCUGAAGCGGCAGCGAUUUUCGCUGUCCACCAACUCCUACCAGAUCCGUUUGUGAGGCGAAUUUCAUGGGGGAUUACAGACAGCAGGAAUCAUGAGAACUCACGAGAACCCGCGGAUUCACGUUCAAUCGCACAAUAAGAAGUUGUCUCUAUAAAGACAGACACAUAGACAUAUAAGCAGUAGAUUGUGUCCUUCCAGAGGAGGAAAUCUACUUCUAGACUUCUAGAAUAAGCAUCUCCUCAUCCAUGGUGUCAUCGGGGUGAAAUGACGUCUAAAAACCUUUCACUUGUUCGUCUUCGCCGUGUUUUAUUUUGAAAAGAAGCCGGAUGUUUUAUUUUGAAAAGAAGCCGGAUGUUUUAUUUUGUGUCUGUGCCCGACUUCCUUUCCAGCACGGGUUAAUCUGUGCUGAAUUUAUCCGCCAUGCUCCGGCGUCUGGAAAAAAUAGAACUCUUGUGAUCAGCUGAGGAGUCCGGCGAUCCGCAGAGGAACGGAAAGAAGUCGGUGUAAAUUGACACGUUAACUUGAAUGGUUACGAUCAGCUACGAUCGGAGGAUACGACCUUUUAGGAGACGAUCAGGAUGAAGGUGGAAGUUGGUGGAAACAGGAAUCACUCCCAACAAAUGCAUUACAGACAGCCACUCAUGUAUGACUUGUUUGUCCACUCUGUGACACCGUAGACACACAAAAGUUGACCUGCUCCUUUUACAAAAGCAAAAAAAAGACGCUCUGAUUUAAACACAAUUGUGAAUAUUAUUUUCUAUUUUUAUCACGACUCUCAUGUAAAAUAUUGCAGACUGCACCUUUAACUCCAACAUCAACCCUCUCUGUCUAUGUGUGUGUGUGUGUGUGUGUGUGUGUGUGUGUGUGUAGAUUUAUGACUGCAAGAGUUGUGCGUGUGUGUGCAUUAGUAGUUGUAUUUCACAUGUCAGGCUUUUAGGUGUAAAGUGCUCUACUGAACACACACACACACACACACACACACACACACACCUUUUCCCUGAGUGUGGGUUGUUUAUCAAUGUUUGAAAUCAAUUUAUCCAAACAGUAAUUUACUUUCUGCAGAGAGAGGGGUCAGAGGUCAGACGAGGGAAGAAGGGUUCGUAUUUUUCAGUUUGUGUUUCUUUUUUAUUUAGAGCUCGUUUGAUGUUUUUAUUCAUUUGGAUUUAUGCAGGCAUGCUGGGAAAACAGUGGAUACGACAUAUUUGAGAAAGUACCACUCACCGCAUGAAGAGAAAUUGGAUAUGUGGACAGAAAGCAACAGACGCUGAUGUAUUUAUGGAAACGAGAGUAAAAAAAAAAACAAGUUUGAUAGAAAAAUGGAGUCGGGGAUCAAGAGUUCAAAGAGAGAGAGAGAGAGAGAGAGGAGAGAGAGGAUCUGAAACGAUAAAGAGAUUUACUCAGAGAGGAAACGAGGUUAUAGAGACGUGACUAAAGGACGGCGAAGAGUGAACACGACUCUGAGACGUAGAUCCUCCUCAUGUUUGAUAACAGCUGAGUCCGGUUUCAGGUCCGCUGUGUUCCCCUCUCCCUCCAUGACCCUCAUGUGUGUCACCUGUGUCUCUUUAUCGUCUCUCCUCGUGUGUGUUUGUCUUCCUCAUGUUUGUCCAAGUCUGUUCUGACCAAAGACCCGUUUAUUUCCACUCAGCUGAGACGAUCGACUCCAUGACUCUGUUUGAUUUGUUUUAAUGGAUAAAGUUUCAUCUCCACAGAUCGGAGGAAAGUCAGAUUUGAGCGCCUGUAAACACAGCAGCUGUUCUGCUGCCCACUUAUAUAAUCAUCAUUACACUCAGGUUUAUUGUCAUUGCGUUCAUUUUGGCGCCUCACGGUGGAAAAUUAAAUUACAAACAGAAUCUAAUGGGCCGUGAGUUUAAUGAGGCACAGUGUGUUCUGUCAACACCGUGUUCCUGCAGGAAUUGUGGACCAGAACAUCAGAGGGACGAAGAGGAGAAACUUUCCUGUCAGACGAUCGCUGCACAGAUGUUUCUCUGUUCAUGUACAGAGAUGAAAAAUCCUGAAUCUGCACAAACUCUUCUGUAAGUUUAAGAUAAAACCAUCACACUUCAAUGUUUACCUCACUUCAUCGGAGUCAUAUAUUCUCUCUUUACUGCGUCGGUUUCAGGCAGUCAAUCAAAAGCAGAGUCAGUGUAGGUGUCGUAUUUAUGCACCUGUACAGUAUGUGUAUCUCAUAAAGAAAGAACAGACGGAGGUCAAACAUGAUAAAGUCACUUUACUUCUUGUUUCUGUGUUUGCACAUGUGUUUAGACUAUAUUUACACGACAUUUCACCCUCUAUGUUUACAAAGAAACUGUGCACACCACUACGUUUUCAGAAAAUUCGUAGUUUACAUUAACCUGAGUAUAUAUGAAAUGCUGUCAACAGCAUAUCAAACAUGUGGGUGAGAGUGAAGCGAGAAGCUAAAGCCCACGUGAGCCUAUCAGAAUCCCACAUAGCAACAACAACAACAACGUCACGUCCUUCUUUCCGGCGCACAAUCUGCUGUCGGUGAUCCAAAUCUCUGGGGUUUUUUCAUUUAAAUGCAAGUUUUGGAGUUUUUAAAAAGCAUCGUUUUCAGGGGUCAGUUCUCCGUUUGCGUCUAAAUGUGAGUGUUUCUAACGGUUCUCAGUCUGUGCAGUAUCUCAGAUAUUUACGACUCUGACCACACGGCUGAAAAAAACACAUAAAAAGCUGCUCUGAUUUUCUCGUUCUUGACUUGAACUCAUGACUCGUCAUUAAGUCUGUGUCCUUGUGCCGCUUCAUUUGCAUUUCCACUAAUGUUGGUCUUUAAAGUUCAGUCGUCAGUGAUCCUCUCUUCUGUAAUUAGACGGCGUCGCCUCCUGUCUCCUCCUUUCUCCUCUUUUCUCGUUUUUCCUCGUUUCUUCAUCUCUUCAGACUAACUCGGAUGUCUUUGAUCCCAUCUUGCCCCGUAACAUCCACACUCAUUUCUUCCUCCGUCGCUGCUCCGCCUUCACCGCCGCCUCCUCCUCUGGCCUGUCAGGGUGAUUAGCCUCGUCUCAUCGGUUGCCAAGCAACCUGACUAAUGACAGUGGACUAAUUUUUCCACUCUGGUCCAGCUGUCCACAUGAAAAAGGAGGAAAAGUGUUCGUGUGUAAGAUUAAUUUGUCACAUUUGUUCUCGUUUUAAUGAGAUCACUUUAACGAGUCGAGCUGCUGCUGCACCUGUAACAUCGUUAAUCUCAUCUUUACACCCAAAUACUUCCAUGUUUAAUAUCAUCAUUAAUAAUCUGCAGUUUGUUUUAGCUUCGCAGACACAAACAGAAGUCAUCAUUUCAUGUGGUCUUUAAUUCGGAGCAGCAGGGAGGAGAAACGCGCUUCCAGAGAUAAACGAGUUAAUCACGAAUCACUCCGAGUCUGGUCCUCAUGUGCUGCAUCCUGCUGCUUCAAAUCUGACGCUCUGAGGAGAAGAUGAACAAAGAUAAUCAUGAGUUUGCAGCAACAUCGUGAAAGAUGACGUGGGUGUUAUUCUUUACACAUCUUUCUAACCAAGAAACCUUCGAGCUGAUUGGUUAUCGCGACACGAAUAUUCGCUCAAGUUGAGACAUUUUCAGCUCCCGCCCAAUUCGCAUCGUUUGUCCUGCCAGAGUAGUAGUAGAGUCCGAUCGCGUCUACACAUUGACUUAACAUGUAAGUCAUUCGCACAAAUGUGGAGACACUUUAAGUUAUAAUAAUAAUGGCAGAGUUUUAGUUUGAGGGAUCAAGACUCACCUCAUUCAUACAGUGGCUCUGUUUACAUGGGCAGUUUUAAGUGAAUCUGAUUCCAUCUGUACACAUGAAUUUAAGUAAAGAGAUCCACGUUCAGUCCGUGUUUUCAUGGGCCCAGCUGAAUCCAGCUGUAUUGUAUCAAUGGGAAUUGUUAAUAGGAACCAUUGUUUUAGUUCCGUUUUAGAGUUGCGCAUGGACGUGUUUGUGUGUGACACCGCCGGAGUUACCAGACCGAGCAGAGUAAGGAACCCUAUGUGUUGAAGUUUAAUAAAAGUAUAAUCCAGCCGGGUUACACAGCAAGAAGUGUACACAACGAAACGACACACUUUAACGCUCCACCGUCCAGUUUUUCUGUUUGUUCGCCAUGUUUGUUUUCGUUCGGGCGCGCUCUGCGUACCUCACUGCGUGGCUCUUACGUACUACCGAGCGUCUGCGCAGACCGAACACGCCUCUCUGUAAACCCAAUCCGCUCCACUCAGCCGUAUAUAUGGAGCGGAUUAUCAAUCGGCGUAGACUACCUCUUUACAAUCUGACCCGAAAUACAAUCAGAUCCGGGUGAAUCAGAUUGGCGAAGGUGUUUAUAUGAGACAUUUUGAAUCUGAUUGUAAACAGGAUUUUUGGACCCAUGUAAACGGGCCCACUGACGGCAGAAGCUGCAGAAUUAACAGACCCAAUUCAGACAACCAUCCUUCUGAUCCUUCCACUAAUCCACAGCCGCCCCUGUAGUUCGUAUUUUCGGCAUUUACACUCCUGAUUUUGUUUACAGCUGCAGUAAAUCCUUCUCUGCGUUUGACCGCUCAGACGACAAACCUGGCUCAUUCCUGUUAAGAUGAGAGCCGGUUAGGAAGCGUCCCCGUCUGCUAACUGUGUUUCAGACCGAGGUUACGCUCCUGACUGACCCUGAGGACAGUCAGUCUAAUUAGUUAAAUCCAUCUAAAGACUUAAACAGAAUCUGUGACAUGACUCCAACAUAUGUCUGAACUCGCACACCAGACUAAAGCAAAUGAUUUCAUUAUCAUUCACGUCUUGGGUCUGUCUCUCUCUCUCCUUAUUCUCUCGCUCCAGUUUGUCAUAUUUGACUCGGCAGAUGAAGAAAUGACUCUGGAAUUGGUCGACUUUUCCACACAAUUGAAUCAGAGCUGAAGCCUCAAACCGCUCCUUCAGAUUCCCUCUCUGACAUCAGCUCCGCUAUUUUCUUUUCUUGUCGUCGCCUCCUGUUGAAUUUAUGAUCGUCUUGGUCUCGAACACCCAAACAACUCAGACAGUCACACACAAUCACACCGGUCCAAUGAAGCAAGACAGGAGAGAGAAAGAGGAGCGGCGUAAUUACUGUCGCUAUCACCGCCAUCCUUUUAUCUUUCGGUGACGCAACCGGGGAGACGUAAGAUAAAAAUAGGGAGGCAGGAGGAGAAGAUGUGACGAUAAAUCGGAGGAUAAACAGGGGAUUAAAGGAGGAGGAGGAGGAGGAGGGGAGGAAGGUGGCAUGACUGUGAUCACUUCUGACAAGCUGUACUUUCUUAUGCACAAAUAUAAAUACAAACAACACAAACAUGCAAAUUCAGCCGCAGUAUAAACCUCCUGAUUCUUCUCUCUCAUCACUCUUUUCAUCGAGGUUCGACUCGUAUUUACAGCAAGAUACCGUUAAUCUAAGUUUCUGAACUCCUCAGAAUUCGGAUAAUCGAGCGUGACUUGGUGUUUAAAAAUUCAGCAGCGUCGACGAUCAGGCUGUUUGCCGACUUUGUGCAUGAUUGCUUUUUGUGUGUUUUCCUGACAGGCUUUGAUUCUUGUAAUGUAGUCUACUGAAGCCUUUGUAAUCACAAAAUACGGCAUAUAUUAGAGGUGCGUUUGAUUCAAGCCUGUUUUAUAUUCUGACUCGACAACCCCGAGUUUGAAACAGCUUUGACAUUAACCCUUUGAACUCCAAGCUUUAUUUUGCUAUUUUUAGUUCGCCUGUUUGUGGAAAUUGAUCCCAACAGAACUUUGCUCCAAAACCACAUAAAUCUACAGUGACCAAGCCUUUUCUCACCUGCACAUCAUUCUCUCAAGUCUUGUCUAUCAGGAGAAGAAAUAUUGGGAUUGGAACAAACACACAACAGAAACUAUUGACAUAUUUACACUCAUUCUUCCAGGCGUUUUUGACUGUUUACAGUUGUUUCUGCCACUCCUGGGAUGAGACAGAGGACCACAUCAUACUGCUCAGAAUCUCUUCUUCACUUGUUUCCAAACAUUGAGGGAACAAUAGAAGAUGAGAGUUAAAGAGCUUGGACCUGAUCUUUGCAGGAGAAGAUGAGAGUUAAAGAGCUUGGACCUGAUCUUUGCAGGAGAAGAUGAGAGUUAAAGAGCUUGGACCUGAUCUUUGCAGGAGAAGAUGAGAGUUAAAGAGCUUGGACCUGAUCAAACAGACAUUAAAAUAAACCUGCAUUUAUUUGAUCGAGGGAGGAAGUGCAGUUUAUGAAUCUUUAGGAUCCGGUCCUCUAAGGGUAUGAGAAGAAUAUGAGGCCGUGUAAUUGGUCUAAAGUUUGGCUUGUCAAACCUGGAAGACAUUAGCGGCAUUUAGCAAUAGCGAUCUUUUUCGAUCACAACAAUUUGAUCAAUAAUCCUGUUUUCACCGUAUAUCACUGCGGAUUUACCAUCAAUCGUCUCUGAUCAAACACCUGUUUUUGUGGCUGGAUUGUAAACCUUGUGGCAGGUGUAGAAAUGUCUGGAAACCCUCGAUAGAUCGACAAAAGGGUAAGCUUUUGAACACUUUUUAUCCCGUAGAGAUACACUGUAAAAAACUAUAAACAAUAAUAAUGGCGUCACGUGGGAUCGACGGCGAUCCAGCGGAGUUCUGAGUGCUGGAUAAAAAGUGACUUCUCUUAUAUUCCAGAUUCAGCAGUCAGAGGUUCAGAGUUCAGUCCUGCAGACUCAGAACCUCAGGCAGCUUUGUCCUGUCUGUUCUUCCUUCAGGCUAAAGUCUUAACGUGACGAAGCGUUCGUCCUCGGGGCGUACUCACCCUGCGGCUGCGAGACGACAGGUCACGUUUAGUAAAAGAGACUAAAACCUCUGAAAUAAAGCAGGGUUGUAAAAUUCAGUCGACAAGUUUACAUACAAACAACAUAUGGGAGUCCCACAAGGCUCAUCCUUAGGCCCGCUCCUUUUUUCCAUGUUUAUCGAUGACCUUUCCGUCCUUCACUCUGCUGAAAUUCAUCUAUAUGCUGAUGACGCAAUUGUUUAUACGUACGGUAAAUGGAAAAUCUCAUCCUCACAACUGCGUAUUGUCUAAACCGUAAAAACUCGCCCUCCUCUCUCUCUCUCUCUCUCUCUUUCUGUCAGUACCACACCUGCUGAUAUAAGUGCUGGGCUCAUCCCUUCACCUCCACCACCUCCCCCCAGCAUCCACCUGCAGGCUCCGACUACAGCUGGUUUAAGACCUAAUCUCAUCACCGCUCAAUUUUCUGCAAGAAAAAAUAAAUCUUCGAGGAGGUCCGGGCCUGGAAGCUGAGCUGUUCUGAUGCAACAGACUAUUUCAAACCAUCAGAAAUGUGAAGUGUCUGACAGGAAUACAGAAAAGUUCGAUAAAUAUUUAUGUGCCGGUCGGAUUGACGAGUCCUCUUUGGAUAAACGCGGUUCGAGAGCCAAGAGUUUGAUUCCAUUCCAGGCCACACCAAGGACUGGGAUGUAGACUAACUUAACUGGCCGACACUGAGCCUGAAUGCUGCUGUUACUGGCCUAGAUAUGUUAUGAUAAAAUGACUAUGGCUCAUUAACCUGCUGUAGACCGCACUUAGCGUGUUAGCUUAAACUGUUUUGGCGCGGUACUUUAAUCAUACCUGGUUUGCUUCUCUGGAAACGCCUCUUAUUUGUUGCACUUCCUCUUGACUCCCUCCUUCUUCCUCUCUGCCUCACCUUUCCCUCUCUUCCUCCUCACUUCACCUGGAAUUAAUGCUGUACUGCCGACUGAGAAGCAGUAGGAUGUCAACAUUAAAUCAAGUCGGGAUUAAUCGCACAGUGAGAUCGUAUCUUGUUCGUCGGGUAGAGAUAAACAACCCCGAGUCUCAUUUUGCAUGUUUCAGUGCAAACCAACUCUACGCCGUACAAACGCUCCUACAGCUGCUUCUUUGGCGAUGGAGAUGCAAAGCUGGCAGACUAGUGAAGAGUCGGUUCAGAGCGAUUUCCCAGACUGGAGAAGCAGCAAGUGGGUAAUUAUUGAACGCGUCGUGAGGGAGUCAUUAAUAUCAUAUUUUGCAGCACGAGUCACACAUUCAGAGGUCUGUUCGCUCACUCCUGCUGUUCUAACUUCAGGUCAAGUGGACCCUCAGGCCUACUUACACAAUUCCCAAAUUAAUAUUAGCACCACAUGCAGUUUUAAAUUGUUGCUUAGAGCCGAAAAUCUGGUGAAACGACUUCGGGUAUCCACCGUUUUUUUCAUUUUGCAUCAUCAGCGGGUCAAAUGCCGGUCCUCAUACUCCGACACGAGCCUCUUUAGAGAGCCUCCUGUUGCUCUACAGCUGCUCUCUGUGAAUGUAGAGAGUGACAAAGAGCAGCAGGUCCGUGUUGUAGAGCAGCUGCCAGACUGAGACGGUUAACAGUCUGCAGAGAGCCCACGCUGUGUACGAGGAGGGAGGAGAGUUCAGCAGACAACACGCGUCCUUCGGCGAGAUUCGAGUUUGCUAUUAUAUCAUUUUACGGCUUUUAAUUAGCUGCUUCUUCCAGAGAAUGAGGAUGUUUUUUUUCUAGUUUGGGGGUUUUCAGACAAAUUAUCGGACUGUUAGUCUGUGUUAAACUCAUCAUUGAUCGGGUAAUAUCCUGUAAUUUGCUCCUCUGAGGAUCUAACGAGUGAAUUUACAGACUUGAAUUCUUGCCACAACUAAAAGGAUUAUAAUACAUAUUUUUUUUACAAUAAUGCGCUUUUGCUUUAUUUAAUGUGUCUCCAUUCAUUACCUCCACCGCUUCCUGUAACCACCGCUCUCAUCACUAACUCCAUUGACGUAUUUAUCCGUCUGAAUGUUUCCUGUUGUCUGAUUCUCUCCAGUAGUCCCGCUGUUGAGCAUUAAUGUUAAUUACUCCUUAAUUGAAGCGUUUACCUCGUUAAAGCUCUCUCUAUCUCUCAUUAUGUGCCAAGAGUUGAUUUGUUGUGUUGUUAUAAUUAGGAGACGGCAUAAAUUACCUCACAAUUACCAAUGUAAAAAGUUCUCUGUUUGUUUAAUGCAACAAAAAGUUUGUUUUUUUAACGCUAACUUAUUGAAAUUGACAAUCAGAGUGGAUCGGACGACCUCUCCGAGCUUUUCUCUCUGCCAGUUUUGAAGAAACUUGGACAGCGGUGUUGGGGAGUGAGAGCUGACUUCUUUAUUUAUCCUUGAAGAGUAUUUUCAUCAUUCGGUUUGUUUUUCCACAACUAUGAGCUCUGGCGUCAAAUGCAUGAAAGAAGUCCAAGGCUGACUCAUGCUUUGAACUCUGCCUGGGUGUUUGCUGAUAUGUUUCUUGGAGCGAUGCAGAGGCGUCCCCGUUUGACAUCUGUUCUACGACCCAAAUGCCAAGAAAAUUAGAAUAAAGACAAGAUUAAUGGAUUUAAAACAGAUGAAAUAUCUGAUGUUGAAGGUGAAAAAUUUGGCUGUUUGAUGGAGAAUAAAUGCUCACUUCAAAUGUCCAGAGAAACUGACCCCCAACGAAAACGCCGCAUCCUCCGAUCGUAGCUGACCGUAACCCUCCAAGUUAACGUGUCAAUUUCCAACGACUUCUUUCCGUUUCGCAGCUGAUCGAGAGGGCAGCCGCAGCAGCAGCAGCGUGUUCAGCUGGACUCAUCUUCAUCUGCUUCCAGCUCCACUGACCUUUGAAGACUUACAAGUGCUAAUGGAGACACUAAUUUAAGACGUCUCUAUAAUAGCUAGAACUUCUUCUCCUCUUUCUCGCCGUCCCCCUUCAUCAUCCCCCAUUACCUGAGGAUUCUCGACACACAUAUAAAGAGGCUCUAGACCACAUAGAUACAGACAGCAUAGAUCUAUUUAUGCUGACUGACAUUCAUAAUUUAAAUUACAGGCAGAGCGGGUAGGAGGCUGCUUAAGUGCGCUGACUGAACAGCAUAAUGUAGAUGUUUGUGAAAUGGUGUAUAAUAAGCCUCGUGAAAUUAUACACAUGGUAUUCUGCUGUUAGCCCACUAUCCAUCCCACAGCAUUACUUAGUGUCACAGCAGGCACACCUUUCAGGUGCCCCAGGUGGUGGAGAUCUCAGCGAGGCGUGCACUGAACGGGAUACUUAAAUAUCAUCAGCAUAGAAGAGGAUCUAUUCUUUACCCCGAACUACUAAACUUUGAUUUCAGCUUCUACAAGCAGCUGUUUUUUUUUUUUAUGUGCAAGAUACGACUACCAGACACUCGUGAUCCCCAAAGUGAUGCAAAUACUGGCUUUUGAACCACCAAGUGUUACCUGGGAUUUUCCACCAAAUCCGUAACGGUGGCGAUUUUCACUGUUCGCCAAUUCCUACCAGAUCCAUUUGUGAGACGAAUUUCGUGGCGGAUUACGGACAGCAGGAAUUGUGAGAACUCCGCGGAUUCACAUGCAAUUGCGCGAUAACGAGUUGUCUCUAUAAACACAGCCACAUAGACAUGUAAGCAGUAGAUUGUGUCCUUCCAGAGGAGGAAAUCUACUUCUAGAAUCAGCGUCUCCAUGCUCCGGCGUCCGGAAAAAAUAGAACUCUUGAUCUCUCGAUCUAGAAGAGAGUAGGUGAGUUGUGUUUAGUCUCUUUGCUAAAGAAAUGAGUCAAAGUUAAAAAGAUGUUUGGUUACUAGUCCUAUGUCUGUGACCCUAUAUGUCCUGUUGAUGAAGUUAGGUGCUGUUCUGAGCAUUAUUGCUAUUGUAUUACUAUCCUGCGGUCGUUACUAAAGUUGGUAUAACUAGAGAAGCAAGCGGUCGGCAACAUUCAUCUCUCGAUGGGUUGUCUAACUUGGUCUUUCGGUGUGUUUGACCCUAACUUAAUUUUACGCCGUAGAAAAAUAUUGGAUAUCUUAUGAGCCGACUGCGAUGAAUCCCAGUGGUCCUCCUGGGGCUGAUCCAGUAUAUCAGUGUCCUUGGAGACCGGUCACUCAGUGGUCUCAAAGAAUCCUUAAAUCUGCAGAAUUCAUGAUCAUCGCAGUCUUACACGGGCAUCAUUUUGACUUUAACGUAACAGCUGUUCAUCUUCUCAGUGUAUCAUGAACUCUUUGUUUACCUCUUUGUUUUCCUGUAUCCUCUAUCACUCCUUUAUUCUCUUUCUCGGCUCGACUUUGAUCAAUGAUUGAUUCCUGCCUUCAGUCUGCGAGCCAGAGUAACAAUCGAUGGACCACAGCGGCAGCCUUUUGAAUAUCCAACCUCUACUUUUCAUCAAAUACAAAGAGUAUUACGUUUGUGGGAUUUCCGCCUCUGUAAUGAUAGUAAUCUGCGGUUGAAAGAGAAAUGCUGGAACAGGAAUAGUGGGUAAAAUCAGGCGCAGAAAUAUGGGAGACUGUGUGGCUGAGUCUGCAUCUUAAAAGGAAGCAAUUUAAGAGUGAUUGCGACGCGGCAGAAGGAGGAUUUUCCAUUUCACAAGCUCCGAGCGCUGCCUUAAAAUGUGUCCUUCCUUUAACAGGCCUCAGCAGCUCCAUAAGGCACAUCCCCGGUGACCUAACCUCUCCUCAGCUUCAUUGAGUGCCACGUCAAGGGUAGAGAAAUCCACUUUAGUGUGUAAAUAUCUGCUAACUGUUCGAUCAAGGAGUCAGCGUUACACAUGUCCGACAGUCGGACUGUUCUGCCCAGAUAAUAUGGAUGGGGAUCGGUUUUCUUUUGCAUCUUAAUCGGACUGAAACGGGCCGAAGCAGAUCAAUGACAGCGAAGUUUGGGACCCUGUCGUUCCUGCAAAAGCCCUGAUGAUCAAAAACACUGUGAUCACACAGGAAGACUUACUGGCAGAGCUGAUGCACUUGAUUACUUUAGGUGUUGUUGCCGAUUAGUGAGCAUGUUUAUGUCCGUGUGUUGCCAUGGUGAUCUCUAAAAGCUCUGAAGCUGUGUGGUGGAGUGUGCAGUCAGCUGAUCGACGUUUCUAACAUCCUUCUCUAACUGACCCCUGCCGCACACUGCGGAUGAUUAAUGACUGGACUUCAAUUGGGCCCGAUCAAUACUCAACACAGAGAUGGGUGUAAAGUUGAAAAAACUAAAAUAUGAACACUUGACCUGCAGACGAUCCAGAAACCUUAAUUUCCCCCAUGAGCUGUUAGUCACGGCCGCUGCCGCCGCUGUAUCCAACGGACAGUUCAGUCACACUGAGAUCACCGUCUUCCCACCUGGUCCUUUAACCUCCUGCAGCACGUUUCUGUCGAGACUCUCCCUCUGUGUACUCGCUCGAACUCUGCAGUGACCCCGAGGUGAGAAUCCUGCUUUUAAAAGCCUCUUUAUUUGAGGUUAAUAAGGCUGACGUGAUCGACAUGGACACAGCAGAAAUAGCCCCGCAUAAUGGCAGACCCGGGUGGACUUGAGUACAUGUGAUUGGUGUGGAUCCCCCCGAACCUCCUGACGAUGUAGACUCGUGUACUUCAGUAUGGCGAAGGUAACUGUGCUCAAACAUGGAGGUCAAAGUUAUGGCGUGGAGGUCAUGCUGUACGAUAAGACAGUUCUGUCAUUUCUGCACGCCGUCCCCUGUGGAGGUUUUGUUUAAAGGGAUAUUCUGGCACAAAAUUAAUUUGCUUAAAUAAACAUACAGUCAUGUCCUGAAGGUUGGAUGAUGAAGAGAUGGCAGACUGCUCACAAACUAGCUGUAGCAGCGACCUGUAAAAACAUGUCAAAGUAAAAGCGUAACAAAUAAUCAGUUUUGAGUCAAUUACUCAUUUACUUUUUAGUUCCUUAUCUUUAUUUUGUUUGACCUUUUUAACGUCUCUCUACUUGCCUCAUCUGUAAAAACUCGUAUUGAGUCUUUAAACUCGACAAAUAAAACAUUAACGGACUGAAAUCCUCCUCUCUGCAUAUCCGCCACAUUUUCACUGCGUUGAAAAAGAUGUCUGAAGAUCUGAUCCAUCACAGAGGCUUCAAAUUAUAUCACCCACAUAUGAUUUCCUCGAGGUAUCACAGGGAAUACCAAAGCCACAGAUUUUUAUUUCCAAGCAGCAGGAUAAAGCGAGAGAUAUUAAGAAAUCAUUUCCACUGAUCUGUCAGACUGGUUCGGUGAGCUGAAGCUGAAAAAAUCUAUGAGAUAAGAAAAGGACAAAAGCAGGAUCAGGGAUGAGUCAAAAAUGAAAUAUUCUCUUUGUCUGUUUUUGCUUGACCUGAAAAAACUGGAGGGCGAGGUUCGGGUUUCUGCUCCUCCUUAUUGUAAGAUCUGACUUUUCCCCAAACACCAUCACAGAUGCUCCUCAAGAUGCUCUGCAGGAUUAAAUCUGAGGAGAUUUUUCACGGUUAGAGAUCAGGAUUUUAAAAAGCUGCUCGACUAAAACUUUAAAGUUUUUGAUUUUUGGCAGCAGAAAGCGUGACUAUCAGAAACCUAUUGUUAUCCACUGAAGCACAGGGAAACAAACUCAUUCAAUAGACCAGCGGUAUAUGAUAAUAAAACUGAUUACAUUCAUACGCUGAAGGUUUAACCCCCCCGUGAGUGGAACGUGAGUGUCAGCGGUGGGCUGCAGUUUCCACGCCGUGCACGACGGUCGACUCCGUCUCUGAUAAAAGCUGCAGUGAUUACCGUGUGAUGACUAAACAGUCCUGCAGCAUUUUGAGACGCUUUCAGCGCCGUUUCAUUUCCCUUAUAAACACCUCUGAGGCUGCACGCCAUCACUUCAACCAGGCGCACCACAGAUCUUCACGCAGGUCUCGUCUCUUUUAAUUUCAAUAAUCGCUCCUUGAAUGCAGCGUUGAUCUUGUCGCUGAGGGUGUACCAAAGGUGAUAAAAGUGAGUGUGCGAUAAAGUCUUCCUAGAAAUUACUCUGGAGCGACAUUUGUGUGAUUUGGCACCUUGGCUGUAAACUGCACAACUGGUGUUUUAGUUAUUGCAGGUAUUUAGAUGGAGUGUGAUUGGUGUGGGAUGGUGAGAGGUCCGGGGUCCAAAGAGUGAAGGAGAUCUGAGCAGAGCUUAAGAGCAGGUGGUGAUCAGGUUGAUCAGGUGCAGGUGUGAAGGUGUAGGAGGAGCUUCAGCUGAAGAGGAGCCGCCCAAAAGAGACUCCACAAAAAAACACAAAAAACAGCCUCCAUGUGUCCCUCAAGUGUUAAAACCAGUUUAAUCAUGACAGGGAGACUGCUUUUAGGUCUGGAUAUGGAUCAAUAAUGAAAUAGCCAAAGACGAACUUUAAAGGUCAUUGGAUCGCAACGAUGGCUGAAGGUCCAAAGAGUGGCUUCAUGAUACUAAAACUGAAGACUGGGUUGAGAGGAGUUCAGUUUAUGAUGCACGAUAUUUUCUUGCAAAGAGGAGAUAAAACAUCAAAUCAAGAACCUGCAGAACCUUUUAGGGCAGCGGUUCUCGAGUCCAGUCCUGCAUAUUUUGGAUGUUUCCCUGCUCUAACACACCUGAUUCAAAUGAUCAGCUCGUUAUUAAGUCAUUCCAGAGCUUCAUAACGAGCUGAUCAUUUGAAUCAGGUGUGUUGGAGCAGAAAAACAUCCAAAACAUGCAGGAGAGUCGAGCAGAUCCACAACCAUGACAGAUCCACAACCCUCUUUUUAAUGGCUGUUCCACACCCGGAAAUUUAACUUAAAAAACAUGUAAAUCAAUAAAUAAGUGACCGCAGUCACAUAUUUAUAUUUUAAUCUAGAUUUUAUUCAUUUUACUUUUUUUUUACUUGUCAUCUUUUUAUGUUUUGCCUGCCUACCUAUAAUAUUUUUGGUUUAUUCUACCAAAAUAUCAACUUAUAUUAUCCCAAUAUCAGAGGGAUUGGCCUUACUUUUAUACUCUUCAUUCCUUGGCGAUGAUUUUGACCCCCUGAGUGCAAUAGUCAGUGUCUGCAGAGCCACAUGAACAUAUUGAAUGUGAUAUUUUGUCUGUUUUUCUCAUAUAUUUUCACGUGCAAUCUCAUGCACAUUAUUUGACAUCGCACUUCUGUGUCAUUCACUACAAUGCUAGUAGCCUACAGGUUAAAUCUUGCAUUUCCGACUUCCGACAUGCUAAUGUUAGCAUUAGCUUGACCAAGAUUCGAUGUGUAUUUCAGACUAUAAUGGAAAGGGUUAGGGAAAAUGUCAUGAAUGGAGCCUUUCACAUUGACAUUUAUUUCAAAUUCAAGACAACAGUUUUAUUGAUAACUAAAAAAAAUAUGUGAUUCACGUUCGAUACGCGAUCAUGACGUCGCUCCAUUCAAGCCGAUAACUUUCGAGAAAGGAGCAGCGUUAAAAAGAGGGUUGUAGAUCUGUCACGGUUCUCCAGCUCUGCAGACACCCGCUACGCUCCAAAAGAGCUAAGAUAAGCAAAGCCAGACUUCAGAGCAAGUUCUGUUGGUUAAAAAGUAAAAAAAUACAACAAAUAACGUGCAAUAAACUUCAUGUAACUGGUCAGUAAAAAAUGAGUUAAUGCUGUUUAAUAUCCUAACAAUGUUUGUGUUGUACUCAAACUCAAGAGGUUUUUAAACCCGUGAACAAACACACUCCUAAGUGAUGUAACAGCAGCCGGUCUUAUUUGUAUGAGACCCGAGGGAGCCUCUCAAACGCCGUCAAGACCACGAAGUAAGUCACGCUUAUUAUGGAAAUGACGACAGCUUGACAGGCGUGAAGCUGAUUUAUCCAAAUAAGCUGUAAAGGCGCUUUCUAGCAGAGAAAAUCCAUAUGUUUUCAUUAUGUAUCUCAACAACAUGAUGCAACAAAGAUAAAUCAUGAAGAACAGUCUGUGGAGGAGCUCCUUUAUGUGUGAAGGACGUCUUAUUAAAGCCCGAGUAAAGAGUCCAUUUACAGAGAACUUGUACGAUCAGCUCUAUAAAAGACUUUUCAAAGUUUGACCACAAACAUUUGUCCAACUUUUUAAAAUUCAUGAGUUUACCCUCGAAUCGUCUGCAGACUUCUAAGCCCUCGAAUCGAUGCCGUGUCACUCUCCACCUCCGCUCUAACGGGGCGCCUGUGCGGUCUGCGGACUCAGAGGGGUCGGUCUUUCAUCAUUCGCUCGUGGGCGCGCUCAGAACCUCUCAGACACACGGGAGCUUUUGAGAAUCUAAAUGCUGAGAAAAAAUGACUCUGCUGAGCAAAUGUGCCCUCAGACAAAGCGAGCGGCUCCAAUCACAUCAAGCUGCUUCGAAUGGAAAUCCCUGCCUCACAUUUGGCCUCAUCACUCACAGACAUACUGGCCUUCAGGGGUGUUUUUUAUGAGCUUGUUGUAUCCUACAUUACACAGGAGUGUCUGCCACUCUGAUUGGACGCCCCCAGAGUUUAAACGAGUUUGGAGAGCGGACGUUAAAGGAACGGCGUCGAGGAAAUACAGAUAACUUUCUCCUUUAAUAUGUUUCUUCUGAACCCUCUGGGGAUGAAGUGAAACUUUUAAAUGAAAGAAAAAUGAAAGCGGAGAGGUUCGCCCAGACAACAGGUCUAAUCUAAAUUCUGCUGACUCCAGGAAAAUUAAUUUCAAAGCCCUGAAGAAGCUCAAAGGGAAUGUUUGAAUAGAAAUGAUCAUUAAUGAGCUGAAAGGGUCAAAGUACUCCUCAGAGAAGAAGAAAGUUUAUCUUAAAGGAAGAGGCGUCAGAAGUGUUUGCUUUCUGCUCACAUAUUCAUGAGAAAAGCAGACGUGUGUUUGUUCGACACCCACCGCCCCUGUGUCCUCUGUUCGGAUCACCCAGCCUGACUUUGAGAGGUCAGAUCUCCUCGACGUGAUAUCUGGCUUUGGCUUUGCAUGGCAGCGUUUCACUCGUAGACGAACUCUGUCCACAUUGUUAGAUCUUCUUCUGCAAAGGCAGCAGAGCUCGAGAGUCCAUCUCUUAGUCACCGACUGAUACAAGAAAAAACUGUGACAAUAGCAGCAGCAUAAAGAAUCAGACUUUUGAUCUGCAUCUGGGUCUGGUCUCAGAUUAAGGGUUCGGAUAUUCCGGUGAUUUUACGCCGGAGUAUCCCUUUAAUAGACUGAUGAAUCUAAAUACUAAUCUUCAAUCUCCUUGGGAGGCUGGGGGUCCAUACUGCAGAGCCAGAAAGUCUGAAAAGGUUGGCGGUCCAGGAUCAACCAAACUAAGACCUGCACCCGUGGUACGAGGGUUCAGAUCCAAUGCCGAACUAAGACUCAUUGCUGACUUCCUGUUUUCUUGAAGGGCUUUUUUUCGGAUCUACUGCACAUGGAGUUCCUGUAUCAUCUGUUUCAGUGACUCCUGGAUCUUUUGUGGGGAUUGUGUUAAAAAAAAAAAGACGUUUAAAGACCCGUAUCAGACAUCAAAUGACUGAAAGGACAAACACAGUUAUAUAGAUCCUGUCUAAACGGCUCAAUUACCUCAGACCUGAUUGAAAACGAAUAGAUCUUUGUUUCUCCAUCGAUGGUCCCGCCCCUGUUGGCCUCCUGUUAAGUGUUAUAUUUACCCUCAGCAGCAGGAGGCCUUUGAACCCGUUAAUAGCUUCUCCUGAAGUGUGCAGCGGUAAAAGGAUUGGGCGUGUUUGAUGUCAGGCCUGAAGAGACGUCUGGCGUGAUGAAAACAUCACCGAAAGAGAGAUAUGAUAGAGCAGAGAGACGGAGAGAGGCUGGAGUUACAGAAGAAGACUAUGUGUUUCAUCACGUCUUCUUUUUUUCAUCCAUGUAGACUUAUUCUCCGACUUCUGAGCCAGACCCACAACCUGCUAUCUCCACUAAAACUCAACAAUCCAGGCUCUGGUGUGUGUGAGGAGGACGCUACAAAGAAAACAUCCAGACAUCCGGAUCUUCCUGAGGGGAUUCUGGGUCGUUACAAAUCCAGGUGAGAUCUUCAAUCUCUGCAACUUGUCAUGGGAAGACCUCCAUCCAAACCACCCCGACCAGAUCUUUCACUCAGUGUGUUUACAUGCACAGCUCCAACACCAAUGUGGAGUGAACAGUCACACACAAACAGAUCAAUAAAAGUAGUUAGAACUACAAAACUGCUGUCAUCCACAAACAGCACACAAAGAUCCAACAAAAGGGACUGCCGCCACCACAACACAGAUGGGCAACAAGUCAAACAAACAGAACAUACCGUUAGGAAUACAAAGCAGCAACACAAGUGACACAACACCAAAUGUGGACUGCAAACCACCACACAAAAUGGUCACAUGGCAACCACCACUACACAAAUGUUGCCACCAACAAUCGUCACACAACGGUCCUAACUGUAAUCACACAAAGUGACCGAACAAAAAUGGGUAGCCUUCUGAAACACACACAUAGUACUGUAACACAAAACAAACAGGUCGUAUGAGACUGCAGAUACAAGAGCUGAACCUCAACGAGCGUUUAGAUCGUCUGACAUCUUGUGACGAUCAGUGACUAAUUCAGAUUAUUUCGUCUUUAAACCUCGACAUGAACAACGAGAGAUAAAAAAAGUUUUUUCCUCCACAUUUUAUUAUUCUUUUUUUAUCUUGAUGACUCCGUCCAGAAACCAUCACUGCAGUAUUUCACUGUGAACUUGUCUCUCUGUGUCGAAGCUUAUUAAAUAAAAUAUAAAACACAGGUGAGUGGCUCCGUUGCAAACCCGUUAACAAGAUACUUUUGAGCCUUUGCCGACUGCUCGGAUGUUCCCCUCAAGCAUUUCUGUCUGUCUUUCCUCCAACAUGAGCAAUAAACAAAAGCUCUUGUCUUCUCCAAGUCCCUCUGGGUUUGAUGUGCGCAUCAAGAUACAAACAGUCCUCUCAGCACCUUGAGAGGCUGCUAAACAAGCAGCGGAGUGCGUUGUUUAGUCUCCUCUUUCCCUCGCUCUCUUUGCUCGCGGUUAUCUGCUCCACUUAUCCAGCUGAGGCCCGCUGCAUUGAGACAUGAUGCAUUCACCGGAGGGAUCGCUCCUCCUCUCGCUCGGGCCUCGCAGAAAAGAAAUGACCAGCGGUGGCAGGAGUCCAAGCUCUUAAGGAAGAACAGACGGCCAAGCAGACUCCAGACUGAAGCCAAGAGUCCGUGUAACGUGGUUAUUAUCUUUGAUGAAGCCUCCUCUGCAGGAGCUGGAGUAAAACUUUCACAGUUUGGAGAUCAACUGAAGAACAGGCAGAAAUCCUCAAACUGGAGGAUUACAUGAAGAGCUGGAGAGCAGACGUUUUUAUUCCUGAAGGUUUUAUUUACCUGUUCCCAUUUAAACCUCAGUCACCAAUCACUGUCCUGUAUCCAUCCAGUCAUGUCUUCCUCUAAACUCAGACAACACCUACAGGAUCAGACUUGACGGGAUAUUCUGCAGAUCAAGGUGAUGCUAACCACGCUCACCCUGCUGCAUUAUUGAAAAGACGUGAAAACCUCAGAGCGUCUCAUUUUCAGGACUUCCUGCAGCACCUAAAGGCUACAUCCUCUCACCCUGAAGAAGAACAGCUGCUCCUCCUGCUGAUUAACCUGCUGC
This 25928-nucleotide long non-coding RNA is filed under the name Xyrichtys novacula (pearly razorfish). Lineage: Eukaryota; Metazoa; Chordata; Actinopteri; Labriformes; Labridae. The record is from RNAcentral.